UGCUAUUAUUGCAGCCGCAUCAGCAUCUUGCGAAUAUACUGUUCAGGAACAGCCUUCAAAUGUGUCGAUGGUUAUACGUUCGACAAUAGAUAUAUAAUUUUUUUUAUUUUUUCAAAUACUUUCAAAUAUCUUUGUUUUUCAUUUACUUCAAGCAAAUGACAUUUCGUGACCAGGAAUCGGUAAAUAGUCAUUUACCAAAUUCGUGCGAAUACGCAUUUGAUGUUAGAUUUCAAUGGUUUGGAAUUAAACAGGUUCUUAACUUAACCAUGAAUUUUUUGGCAGACAGGAAAUUUACCAGUCCAUAUUGUAUCGAUCCAAACGAGAUAAACACUUUUGUUUACAAGAUAAAUAGAGAACGGAAGGAAAAGACUAUAAUGAUUACCAAUGAAGAUUUUAGUGGUUUUCUCAUGACCGGACCGAGAUCGAUGUAUUGUGAAAAUUUUUAUUACGUUUAUUAGAACUGAACUGAAACUGUAUGUGGUGGAUUAUUUUUUUAUAUAUAUAACAAUAAUUAUGUGUUGGGGAUCCAUUUUAGCUGCUGCCUUGAGGAGUAAAUAUUCGUCCAGGAAACAUCAACAAAAAAAGAAGCGUGACAAAAGUCAAGUAAAGAAUAAACGGACUAAAUCUCAUCGGCGGACAACACCUC
Molecule: long non-coding RNA, 646 nt
Filed under: Mytilus galloprovincialis (Mediterranean mussel)
Lineage: Eukaryota; Metazoa; Mollusca; Bivalvia; Mytilida; Mytilidae
Source: RNAcentral